UACGACUACAUAUCAGGCAUAUCAAUAAGCGGAGGAAAAGAAACUAACUAGGAUUCCCUUAGUAACGGCGAGUGAAGCGGGAAGAGCUCAAAUUUGAAAUCUUCAAGGUUCUACCUUGACGAAUUGUAGUUUAUAGAAGUGUUUUCUGUUAGUGGAGUGGCAAAAGUUCCUUGGAAUAGGACAUCAUAGAGGGUGAGAAUCCCGUAUUUGGUCAUUCCUCCUAGCGUUGUGAUACACUUUCAACGAGUCGGAUUGUUUGGGAAUGCAGUCCAAAAUGGGUGGUAAAUUUCAUCUAAAGCUAAAUAUUGGCGAGAGACCGAUAGCGAACAAGUACCGUGAGGGAAAGAUGAAAAGAACUUUGAAAAGAGAGUUAAACAGUACGUGAAAUUGUCAAAAGGGAAGCGUUUGACACCAGUGUUGUUUUUCCGAAAAUCAAUUACGAAUGUUUUGUUUUUGAGGAGUUAUGACUUCAUCGGCUUGCUCCUUUCUUUACGAAACUUUCUUAAUGCACUUUUCGGUUAACAAGUCAACAUCAAUUUCUUUUGUUGUAAAAGAGUCAUUGGAAGGUGGCUUUCACUUCGGUGAAAGUGUUUAUAGCCUUUGGCUUCUGCAAUCGGAGAGAUUGAGGUCUGCAGCGUAGAUCCUUUGGGGUUAGAUACGUUAGAUGCUAAGUUAUAGCUUUUUCAUAGACAACUUGUUGACUAUGAUUUAAUCAUUGUAGCUUACUCGCUUGACGCUAUUUUACCUACGCUUAGGAUGUUGAAUCUGUGCGAGACUAC
This 779-nucleotide ribosomal RNA is filed under the name uncultured Neocallimastigales. Its description in RNAcentral is "partial large subunit ribosomal RNA". It matches the Rfam family "Eukaryotic large subunit ribosomal RNA", at positions 24 to 644 of the family's 3401-position model. The record is from RNAcentral. Lineage: Eukaryota; Fungi; Neocallimastigomycota; Neocallimastigomycetes; Neocallimastigales.